UUGCUGCAUUGUCCAAGAUAAUUAUAUAGUUAGGAAUGUGGUUUAAGGGUAUGGCUCUAGUGUUUCCCUUCUGCAUUCUCCCUCGUCAAUUGGCUACAUUUCUCUCCAGUAAAAAAAAGAAGGGGGAAAGGUAAGAACCUAGAAAUAAAUCGAAAAUUACAGAGAUUUUUGCCUGAGAUCCUUAAGGGACGUAAAGAUUUUCUCUUGAUCAAUGCGUUGGAGAUCGGCCUCCUCUUCGAUUUCUCACUCUUUCUCCGCUUGCAGAUCGGAUUUUUCCAUCGUCAAAGCUGCAGAGGUUGUAGCUCGCUCUGUCAGUUUACUAGCAAUUACUGUCCACUAGAAAGACACCUUUACUUUAAGAAAGAUGAGAAGACGUCUGAACAAGAGUGGAACAAGAAAAGCAGUUGUGCUCUCUCUUAUUAUACCACUUCCCACUUUUGGUGCACUUGCUAAGCGCUUUAGUCAGAUCAGCCUUACCACUACAAGGCCGCUGGUAAAUCCGUCUUUUUUUUCUUCAAAAUAAUGAACUACCGCAACGACACGUGGUGUGCACGUAGCCCGUUCAAGGAAGUCAUUCUCCCAAGAGAAGCCUUGCUGAGAUAAGAGACAGUUAGCUCUUAAAAAGCAGGAGCGGGAAGCGAAGCAAGUGGUCCAAAAGAUUAUACUCAAGAGGCUCAGAUGACAAUGCCCUAACCCUCUGGUCAUUCCUAAGGCGACGAGGACAACCACAUAAGCUGAUUUAUUUGGCAUUAUAAUAGUAGAGAUGUAAAGGUAUAAUUUGCUGGUAUGUAAAAUAAACAUUAUUGUCUUCUCUACAAACAUAUUCUUUUACCUUAUAUUUGGCAUUUGUGGAAUUCUUCUCCGAGCACUUGUUUUAUGUUAACAUCUUAACCUUGCUCCAUGUCUAUUACGGGCUGAGUCUUUUUAUUUUAUGUUA
Long non-coding RNA from Asparagus officinalis (garden asparagus), 937 nucleotides. RefSeq lists it as uncharacterized. The transcript has 3 exons. Lineage: Eukaryota; Viridiplantae; Streptophyta; Magnoliopsida; Asparagales; Asparagaceae. The record is from RefSeq and is a predicted model, not a curated record.